AAGUUGCUAGGUGACCCAAUACGGGCAUCGGGCAAAACUCGCGUAGGAUUAGCGAGCUGGGUCGGCGACGCCAAUACAGCGGCCCAUGGCUUAUCCUUAGCCUGUCUUAACGGUACUAGGCCACGGUGGCACUGAAAAGGGGCCACGGUUCUUAUGAACCCAGCAGUGUUGAAUUUUGGACAAUCGCUUGAACGGCGGAUCCAGAUGCUGCUUACAAAUACAUUAUAUUUCAUGAUCGUUGCUUCUAUUUUGAUUUUGAUUGUUCCUGUUUUGUUGAGCGUCGCUAUGUUUACUCUAGCUGAGCGCACCGUAAUGGCUUCUAUGCAACGCCGUUUCGGCCCACAAGUUUCCGGUAUCAGUGGCUUGCUACAGCCGUUCUGGGAUGGUUUGAAAUUGGGUGUUAAAGAGCCUGUUCUACCUGAUUCCAGUUCUGCCGGAGCCUUCGCUGCUAGUCCAAUGAUUAGUUUUGUACUAAGCCAAGUCGCUUGGGUUGGCAUUUGCAUUUCCGAUGCUUCUUUCCAGGGCUUGGUAAUCAUGGCUAUUAGUAGCUUGGCUGUAUAUGGUGUCAUGUUGGCCGGUUGGGCUAGUAACUCUAAAUACGCUUUCUUGGGUUGUCUGCGUUCUGUAGCCCUUAUGGUAUCUUAUGAGUUGAGUUUGGGUGCUGCUUUGCUAUCUAUCGGUCUGUUCGUCACUGACGGCACUGGUAUGAAAUGUUUGAACUUUGCUGAGAUGCCUACCACCCCACAAUAUGCUAUGUUGCCGCUAUGCUUGAUUUUCUUGGUAUGUAUUCUAGCUGAGACCAAACGCGUACCAUUUGAUCUACCAGAGGCUGAGGCUGAGUUGGUUGCUGGUUAUAACGUAGAGUACAGUAGUUUGGGUUUUGCCCUAUUCUUUAUCGCCGAGUACGCUAACAUGGCUGUAAUGAGUGCUAUUGCUAGCAUUUACUUCUUGGGUGGCUUCAGCGCCCUUAAAAUUACUGCCCUGUUCUUCGCUUUUGUAUGGACUCGCGGUACUUUGCCACGUUAUCGUUACGACCAAUUCAUGCGCCUAGGUUGGAAAGCUUUCCUACCGCUAACCUUGGCUUUCUUCGCCUUGCAUGCUAGCGUAGCUAUCUAAUAUUAUUUUAUUCUGCUUAGACUCAUCUAUACAAUGAGUGCCUAAGCACUCAAUUGCGGUGCUCGGUGAAACCGAGCAUCCAAUACUAAAGAAACUUUACUGGCUUAGUACUGGGACCCCAUUUUUAGUAUACCUACAUUAUAUACAACGUCUAUUGGACCCGAAACCGAUCGAUCUAGCGACGUGCAGGUCUGACUUUAAUCAGGACCGAACCCGUGUCUGUUGCAAGAGACUGGGAUGACACGUGGCUAGGGGUGAAAGGCCAAUCAAGUUCGGUAAUAGCUGGUUUUCUGCGAAAUCUAUUCAGGUAAAGAGUGUGUACUAAGACCAUUAAUUAUAUAUAAUGUUUACUGUAAACUACAUUUUGGAUUUGUUCCACACUAUCAAUGCUACUGAGGUGCAGCAUACUCUAAUGCUCGCUCUAAUGCAUAAACGCCCGGCUUCUCUGCAUGAGGUACUACGACUGGCUGGUCUGCUACAGGGGUACAAGGACUUUCUGAGUCUAACUAAACAAGCCGAGGCUUUCUUCCAAGCCGGUGACUACCGUUCUGCUUUUAACACCAUUAGCAAAAUGUGGGUGCAUCCUCAGAUUGUGCCUGCCCUGCUUCUAAUGGAGUGCUUUGAGACUCGCGAGCUAACUGUGCCUUACUGGUACAAAAGUAUAAAACUACGCCGACAGUACAUCCAGAAAAAGAACGGAGGGGUCCGUCCUAUUAUUGUUGCCCACAAAGGCCUACGCAUCUGUAUGGCAGUGAUCAAUCGUCUAUUGCAAUCCUGUUGCGUUUCUUGGUCUAACCAGACUUUUGGCUUCCGUCCUGGUUUUGGUACCCAUCAUGCUGUUUUGCACCUAGCUCAAAAAGCUCAACAAAUGCUUAACAAACAACAACAAGCCGUACUUGUCACUUUCGAUUUGCAAGCCGCUUAUAAUUCCGUUGAUAUUAAGCACUUGAUGCAGACUCUACAGUUGCAAUACCUUCCCAAUGACAUGAAAAAACUCAUUUGGAUGUGGCAGCACUUGCCUCUUGCUCAGCUAAACGCCGGUAUCAAUGGACUUGCCCAAGGUUAUGCUUAUAGCCCUACACUUUUCGCUUGGUAUGUUGAUCAAUUGGUGGGCCAACACAUGGACUUUACUAUUUAUGCGGAUAAUUUUGCGGGUGUAUUCCUCACCCAACAAGAUGCGCAAUUCGCGGUCAAAGAGGCGCAAACUCUGCUACAAAAAAGCGGACUAUUGAUCGCACCAAGCUCCAUUAAGAUGCACCUGCUGGAUAAAAACCAGCACUCCGAGUUGAAUUGGCUAGGGCACAACGUAAUGUUCCCCAGUUGCACUGUAAAGCUACAACACCACCAGCUGCUAGUUAACCAACACUCCCCACAAGUAUGGACCAUUCAAAAAUGGGAUAAAAUGCUACGUACAUUGGGUUGGGUACAGCUUGCCUUGAAUGCAGAUUGGCGCCGUUUCUAGUACUAGACUACCAUUUACAAGAAUAGGAGGUGUACAUUUACCUUAACUAUUCAAGGAGUGCCUGUCGGCACCCACUUACGGUGCUCGGUUUCACCGAGCACCCAAGGUCUAGCUACGAUUUGCUAUAUUAUUAGAAAAUUAAAUAGGUCGAUAAAACUGCUUUUCUAAAGAGAGAGAGCACACACGAAUUAUACACAGUUACCCUGAUCAACGGACAAAAGCUACGCUAGGGAUAACAGGCUUAUCCGCCUUUAGAGUUCCUAUCGAUGGGCGGGUUUGGCACCUCGAUGUUGGAUCAUCGCGUCCUGUGGCUGAAGGAGGUCGCAAGGGUUGGAUUGUUCGUCCAUUAAAGCGGUACGUGAUCUGAGUUCAGACCGUCGUGAGACAGGUCGGUUUCUAUCUUUGUCAGCGAAAGGCUUGUUUUCUAGUGAGUUUGACACUCACGCCGAAACGCCUAUGCACAGUUAGCCGCUGGGGGCGAGUACGAAAGGACCAGACCCCUAUAAACCUCUGGUACACUUGUUGUCAUUUACACGGCAUAGCAAGAAAGCUAAGUUUUAAAAGGCUAGAUUGCCUACAUUCAAUAACACCGAAUGACCCCGACUUACAAAAGUUUAGGACUAAAUUUUAUGAAUUGUUUGUGAACACCCCCCAAGCACGUGCCAGAAGGGUCGGUAAAACGUGCGGUGUCAGUAUAAAGCGUCUUGACUAGGCAGGCAGCGCGUCUGAGCGUUAAUGGUGAACACUUUAAACGUUGGGUAAUAUUCGGAGGAUCGGUCAAAUGAGAAUAUUCCGGAUGGAAAGCCGAAGGCGAAAGCACCAACAUCAGAGUCACUAAAGCUUCAACGCGUAAGUUUGGGUAGCGAACCGGAUUAGAGACCCGCAGUAGUCCAAACCGUCAACACAUUAUAGUUUUCAAAUCUAUAACGCCUGGUGAUACGGUGGCAACACUAUAAAUCAAAGCAAUUGGCAGCGAUAGAGAUGCGCGGUGGAAUAUGCUGUUUAAAUCGAAUUUACACGCAAACUCUUACCACUUUUUAUUAUAUGAGUACUCGGUGUAACCGAGUACCCGAUAUUGGUGCUCGGCCAGCAGAGCUGGCCGAGCAUCAUAUGAGUACAAUUGUACACGAUAGAGGUGCUCGGUGAAACCUAGUAUCAUAUUACAAAGACACGUAGCUUAGUGGUAAAGCACUGGUCUCAUAAGCCAGCUAUCGCAAGUUCGAAUCUCGCCGUGUCUAUUACAUUUUUAUACUAUACCGGUAGCGCAAGCGAAUGGUAAUGGAUCUAAUACAACACAUUCAGACAAUCGGCGGUAAGGUCAAUUGUCAAGAGGAGAACAGUCCAGAGGCGAGGCUAAGGUGCCUAACAAUUAUUAUAUACAAAUAGCUCUUGCAUUGCUGAAAAGUUCGAGCGGGACCUCGCCCUUAGUGCCGGUCUUUGCCACGUUUUCUGAACGGUCGAGCAAGUCAUCAUGGGGCUUAUAGAGUGGGCUACAGGCGUAUUACAUUGGACACCCACAAGUUGGAUACCAAAACUGUCCGAAUAUACGGAUUGGAGUAGCAAAACGAGAGAACUAUACAGUUCGUUUGCAUCGUUAUGCCUUGCUGAAACUGCCUCCAUGAAGAAGGAAUCGCGAGUAAUCGUAGAUCAUUAGCGCUACGGUGAAGGUAACCUCUAUUGUGCACACAUUGCCCGUCACCUCCGAUAAUAGUAUUGUACAGGAAGAACUAUGGCUACACUUAAGUCGCGGCCUAGGAACGUAUGCGUGAUAUUAGAGUUGGAGUAAGUCGUAACAGGUUGGGGUAGGGGAACCUGCUCCAGAGUCAAAUUUAUAUAAAAGGGAUUGCUGACUGAUAGUGCAAACAGUACUGUGAAGGAACUAAUGAAACUGGGCUAAAACACAAUAAACACUAAGUGCGCAUUCCACCUAUACGUGAGCAUUAGCGCAUUACCAUUCUCCAGAGGAUUUAAAUGCACAAACCUAUUUAUGCCUUUUGGCAUAUGAUUACACUUCGUUAUAUAUCACCCGUUCAACAUUUUUACAAACAGCUAUAAUUUAGCGUACCUUUUGCAUUAUGGGUUAGCUACUCAAUAGACGUGAGUUAAGCAGAAAGCUUACUGAGAUUUUUUUAUAACGAGAGGGGCCAUCACAGAGAUGCCCUCUCUGGGUUCCUUUAAAUGUUACUAGGACCCCAACGCGUGCAACAACACACUAAAGGGGUGGGCUGCCUAAAAAAGCCCGAGAGCUGCUGGUUUAACCCACACUCUCACAAGCCCCACAUCGGUAUUUUUAGGCUAAAAUCUAUCAGCCCUUGUACGUAACGAUUGCGACUACGCAUGCCUAAGUGCGCAAACAGUAUCGGUUUGGUUGAUCUGCAUCCUACCAGCCGUCUUCGGCGACUCGCACGAUCCUAUAUUAUAUAUAAUACUCAUCUCAUUUGAACUUUACUGGAGGUGCCUAAAAGCACCCACAGAGAUGAUCGGCACUGCCGAUCAUACUGGAAUUCCACAGAAUUUACGCAAAGCUCAGAACACGAGCACAGCAGCAAACGCCACAAACACACUUUUUACACUUACGGUACGCGGUUCCGGUUGAUGAUCCAUAAGGGCUUCUCAGGCUACCCAACGGGCACAUGUUCUCCUCACCCGGAUUGAACACCCAGGGGACACCGAGCACCCAAACGAUUACAUGUACAACGCACACUUCACCACAGGGCAUUAGCAGCCCUCUGCCAUAUUAGGUGACCCCGCUCAGGAUUGGCAGAAAAGGACCUUCCACACCGCACGAUAGAACUCACCAAGCUCGGCCAGCUCUGCUGGCCGAGCAUCGUCGAGAUCGAACCGCGGUGGGGGCCCACUACUCCACGCGUGCUUCGCAAGCCGCCAAAGUAACCUGGGCAAGACUAGCUACACGGGGAGAGUUUGCGACUUCACCUAAAACACACAAAAACACACCGGCACCUUAAGCACUUUUUCGAACUUAUAGGACCCCCGCCCAAACACCUAUAGGAUCGUGCGAGUCGCCGAAGACGGCUGGUAGGAUGCAGAUCAACCAAACCGAUACUGUUUGCGCACUUAGGCAUGCGUAGU
This 5668-nucleotide transfer RNA is filed under the name Chlamydomonas reinhardtii. RNAcentral's name for it is "small subunit ribosomal RNA". The stretch from base 3124 to 4412 matches the Rfam family "Bacterial small subunit ribosomal RNA". Lineage: Eukaryota; Viridiplantae; Chlorophyta; Chlorophyceae; Chlamydomonadales; Chlamydomonadaceae. The record is from RNAcentral.